CGGGGCCUAAGAAAGGCCUGGCUUGGCCCUUGACGGAUCUGAACCACAGUGGGUCAUUCUCGCCUUGAAAAGAAACCAAGAUAAAAAGAAACAGCUCUCAGAACAAAACCAGAGAUUCAUUGCCCCAUUUUUCCUCUCUUUAAUCAUCCAAACUUGAACUGAGGAGCACUGCUGGCUUGAAAAUGAUCCAAGAACAAAAGAAACAACUCUCCAAGGUCAUACACCAAACAAAAACUGAGAAACAUUCUGUAUGUUUGCUUUUUUUUUUUUUCUCUUCGGAACUGAAUCUGGGCUCUAACUUUGGAUUUUUAGUGGACAUCCUUUCUGGAUUCUCAGCUCCAUCUUCCUCAAACCUCUUGCCAUAUCCCUGCUUCCUUUAAAAAUUUCCCUAAGAGAAAGAAAAAUAUCAUAUGAUAUCACUCAUAUGUGGAAUCUAAAAGAAAAAA
Molecule: long non-coding RNA, 446 nt
Organism: Vicugna pacos (alpaca)
Lineage: Eukaryota; Metazoa; Chordata; Mammalia; Artiodactyla; Camelidae
Source: RefSeq, a predicted model, not a curated record